This is a long non-coding RNA of Diceros bicornis minor, 3015 nucleotides long. RefSeq lists it as uncharacterized. The record is from RefSeq and is a predicted model, not a curated record. Lineage: Eukaryota; Metazoa; Chordata; Mammalia; Perissodactyla; Rhinocerotidae. The transcript is spliced from 3 exons.
AUGCCGCUUGUUUCCUGCUUUAGAAUAACAGCACGAGGCAUACUGUGACCCGGCACUGCUCUAAAGGCCGUCUAUGAAUUCACUCAUUCAGCCUUCACCACAGUUCUCUGAAGUGGUGUGACUAUUAUCUACAUCUUAUAAGCAAGGGACUGAGGCUCAGGCAGGUUCAGUCACACGCCUGGGAACACUGUAUUGAUCCAAUGGCUCCUCAGAUGGUUCAGAUGCUUCCCUUUCCCUUCUGAUGUGGGUCUUUGUUAGUACUGGCUUUUGAAGGACAGCGUAAUGUGUCGCAUUUUGUGAUCCCACAUCUUAAGUGAUCGUAUUUGACUUUGCUGAAAGAGAGCGGACAAGCUCCUAAGUGCUGCAUCUGCUACCCCAGAAUGCAAUAUUAAUUUUGUGGGCAUUUUUAAUCUCCUUUGGAUUUUAAUUUUAGCUUGAAAACUUAAUGGAAUGUGGAUUAUGUGGGCUUAAUUAACUUGUAAUUUGGAUAAGGAAACCUUUACGGUAAACGCUGAAAGAAAAUGAUUCUUUGUUUCAUUUUACCUGUCAUUUGGACGGCUGCUCCCUCAUGUUUCCAAGCAGCAAAAAUUCAAACUCGGGAAAAUAUGAUUCCUGUAACGUCUGUGGCAAAUGCUUGGAACUGUAGAAAUGUCACAGCCAUACAGACCCUGCCACCUCUUCUGUGCAACUCUACGAUUGAUUUGAGUGACGAGAGUCCAAAAAAGAAGUCUCCAGCACAACAGCAUUUAGUCAAACAGGCAAUGACAUAAGAGACCGUCUUUAAUUGGAGGAUGGAAAGUUGCCACAAGUUUCCAGAGCCGCUGACUGAGGAACCCCCAUAUUUUGGACCCACAUCAACAUGGACCUGUCAAUUUUCAGCAAAAGGAGGAAAGACAACGAGAAAGAUUUAGCCAGAGGCUUGUAACAGACUUGCUGGGCUAGAGAGAGAAUUUAGUCUUCAGGACGACCAAAUAGAUGAGGACUAGAGGGUGAGGAAGAAAUCUCCAACAACUGGACCAGAAAUGAUAUAUGUGAUUUCCUCUGAAAGCAUUUGCCAACUCUAAAGGGACACAUGUACAGGGUGAAACUUCUAGAAAUCAACUAGAAACCUGUUCCCCAGAGACCAAAGAGCUUAGCAAAGACAUCAGCAUACCCACAGUCUGGUGGUCCUGGAGAGAGAAGUUAAGUUUAGGUCCACAAAAGUGGAGUGGCCCUUGUAAAUUCUACAGGCUUUCAGUCUUGAUCCCAGAAGUACUAUUAGCUAGGAACAAGGGCCAACUGGAAAAAUGACCAGCUGUAACAAAACCUAAAACCCACACUUAACUGAAUGUGCCAGUACUCUGCCUGCCUUCAGAAUAAAAUAAAACUCUGUUUGGAAAUAACAUCAACCAGAGCCUCUGCAAUAUUUUCUGCCUGAUGUCUAGUAGUCAUUUACUGGGCAUGCCCCAAAACAAGUCCAGACGACUAAAUGCGAAAACAAAAUUCUAUAGAAAGAGACCCAAGGGAUGGUUUAGAUGUUGGAGUUAUCAGAUAGGAACCUCUAAAUAACUAUGAUUAAUAUUUUCAAGAAAAUAGAGGAAAAAAUGGAGAAUUUUCCCAGAGAACUGGAAUCUGAAAAAUGCGGUGACUGGAAAUGAAAGAUUCAGUGGAGAAGCUAAUAACAGAUUUGAUGUGUCAGAAGAGAGGAUUAGUGAACUGGAAGGUAAAUGACUAGAAAUAUCUAGAUUAAAGCCCAGAGAGGGAAGAGGCUGGACAAUGAAGACGACUGUAAAUAAAGGUGUGACAUGCACUUAACAUACAUAUAAUUUAGAGUUCUAAAAGUGAGGAGCAAGAGAAUGAGAAAGAAUCCAUGAAAAAUUCCAAAAACUGGCAAUUAAGCCACAGAGCCAAAAAUCUUCAGACUCUAAGGAGGUGGAUACAAUGGAAUGAAGUGGGAAUGUUAAGCCAGAAAAGAGUAAGUGAGACAAUUAUGGUAGCCUUAAAAAAUCUGAAGUGUUGUCAGGAUGAAAAGGCAAUUUACUUGUUCUGUGUUAUCCAGGGGACAGGGCUGGGAUGUAAGUUGAAAGGCAACGAUUUGUGACUCAACAUAGGAAAGUUUAAUAAAUGUACCCGAAUAAAAAUGGAACAGUGAACUCCGAAUAAUUGAGAUUUUUAAACCAAAAUUUAGAUGAGCAGGCUUCAGAGAGGUAGAAGGUAUUCUUAAAUUGAAUGUGAGUUUAAUGAGCUUUCCUGUAAGACUCCUUGUAAUCCAAGGUUAAAUAAUUCUAUAAUGUGCAUUCCAGUGAAUGAUUGUUAUAUUUUCAUAACCACAACUAAUUUAAGAAGCUGUUCAUUUAAUCAUUAACUCAGGAAAUGUUAUUGAGUACCCACUUCAUGUGAGGCCCCAUUACAGGCCGAGGAGCUACCAAGAGACAAUAAGACACAGUCCCUGGCAUCAUCGUGAUCAUACACAUGAGAAUAGCCUCUUCUGGAGAGUUUAUAACUUAUUCAGGCGACUAUAAUCUAACUUAGUACAAGGGAAGACAGGACAUAUAUUAUUAAAAUGGAGCUGAAUAGUGUAAAAGAAUAAUUCAUCUCCACUAAAUGGGUAUUUUAUUCCUUUUUACAGGGGAGAUUACAUGCUGUUUGUCAAAUUGAACACAACUGCUAUAAAUAUAACUCUUUUCAGGACAUCCAGGUGAUCUUAGCAUCCUAUAGCUUCGGUUCUCUCGAAGGCAUGCUUGGAGCCUCAAUGUUGUUAGUUUAAACAAUCAUGAAUUCUUCAACAAUCCCUAGUUUCUAUAUUGGUUGUUAAUGUAAUGAUUCCAGUUGUCUGUCAUGAAGUGGUCAAAUAAGUCUUUAUGUAAUGGCAGAAGACAGAGGUUAAUGGUAGUAAUUCUUUUGUUUUCUUUGGUGAGGAAGACUGGCUCUGAGCUCACAUCUGUGCCCGUCUUCCUCUAUUUUGUAUGUGGGACACCACCACAGCAUGGCUUGAUGAGUGGUGCGUAGGUAUGCCCCCGAGGAUCCCAAAGCAGA